AUUGAACGCUGGCGGCAUGCCUUACACAUGCAAGUCGAACGGUAACAGGUCUUCGGAUGCUGACGAGUGGCGAACGGGUGAGUAAUACAUCGGAACGUGCCCAGUCGUGGGGGAUAACGCAGCGAAAGCUGUGCUAAUACCGCAUACGAUCUACGGAUGAAAGCGGGGGAUCGCAAGACCUCGCGCGAUUGGAGCGGCCGAUGGCAGAUUAGGUAGUUGGUGAGGUAAAGGCUCACCAAGCCUGCGAUCUGUAGCUGGUCUGAGAGGACGACCAGCCACACUGGAACUGAGACACGGUCCAGACUCCUACGGGAGGCAGCAGUGGGGAAUUUUGGACAAUGGGCGCAAGCCUGAUCCAGCAAUGCCGUGUGCAGGAUGAAGGCCUUCGGGUUGUGAACUGCUUUUGUACGGAACGAAAAAGCUUCUUCUAAUACAGGAGGCUCAUGACGGUACCGUAAGAAUAAGCACCGGCUAACUACGUGCCAGCCGCCGCAGUAA
RNAcentral lists this ribosomal RNA (498 nucleotides) under uncultured bacterium. Its description in RNAcentral is "partial 16S ribosomal RNA". It matches the Rfam family "Bacterial small subunit ribosomal RNA", at positions 30 to 523 of the family's 1533-position model. The record is from RNAcentral.